UUCUGACAUGAUUUUGGUUUAUUAGAGAAAAUCAUAGUUUUUUAUAGACUAUGGAGGAGGGCUCGUUUGCAAGGUGGUGGCUGUGAAAGAUUAUUUGGAUUAGAAGCAGGGGACUCCAUUCCAAGUGUCUUAAGUAGGAAGUUCCUUUCCUGAAAAAGAAACAAAAACU
Molecule: long non-coding RNA, 169 nt
Organism: Hibiscus syriacus
Lineage: Eukaryota; Viridiplantae; Streptophyta; Magnoliopsida; Malvales; Malvaceae
Exons: 4
Source: RefSeq, a predicted model, not a curated record